GGCCUAGUGGUUAAGUGGUUAAAGUAUCCGCCUCGGAUGUGGAAGGUCGUGGGUUCGAAUCCCUGCCGAGUCA
Molecule: non-coding RNA, 73 nt
Organism: Potamilus streckersoni
Lineage: Eukaryota; Metazoa; Mollusca; Bivalvia; Unionida; Unionidae
Source: the annotation of a GenBank genome assembly